RNAcentral lists this ribosomal RNA (269 nucleotides) under uncultured bacterium. RNAcentral's name for it is "partial 16S ribosomal RNA". It matches the Rfam family "Bacterial small subunit ribosomal RNA", at positions 28 to 297 of the family's 1533-position model. The record is from RNAcentral.
GACGAACGCUGGCGGCGUGCUUAACACAUGCAAGUCGAGCGGUAAGGCCCUUUCGGGGGUACGACGAGCGGCGAACGGGUGAGUAACACGUGGGUGACCUGCCCUCAGCUCUGGGAUAAGCCUGGGAAACCGGGUCUAAUACUGGAUAUGACUCCAUGACGCAUGUUGUGGGGUGGAAAGCCUUGUGCGGCUGAGGAUGGGCCCGCGGCCUAUCAGCUUGUUGGUGGGGUGAUGGCCCACCAAGGCGACGACGGGUAGCCGGCCUGAGA